RNAcentral lists this long non-coding RNA (585 nucleotides) under Homo sapiens (human). Its description in RNAcentral is "HSALNT0367121". The record is from RNAcentral. Lineage: Eukaryota; Metazoa; Chordata; Mammalia; Primates; Hominidae.
GCUGUGUUCACUGCAUUUGUACUUAAUAUUGUUUUGUGAAUAUCACUGGCCAUCUUGAUAGAAAAGUGCAAAGGUAUUGAGAGACUUGAAAGCAACAGUUAAGGAGAAGCAUAGGCUUAGAAACAAAAACAAAAGUAGAGAUUUUUUUUUAAACUUGGAAGCAUUGAGAAAAUAAAGGAUAUUACAAAUGUAGACGGAAUGAAUCAUUUGACAAGGAGUGAAUAAAGAAGCGACAACUGGCAAAAGGGAAGGAAAAUGAGAAACGAAAUGGAGUUUUUUUUUCAGUUUGCUGAGAAGAUAAUGAGGGAAGAUGAAUUUGAGAUUUUUCCUGCUUCUAGGAUGGUAGAGAGCAGUCUUCAGCCUGAGACCCAUUCCUAGGUACUGCUAUAUCUGGAACAUGCCAGGAAUGUCUAUGGAGCCAUGAGCAUGUGUUGCCAGCAGGAAGGUGCCCCAGGCCAUAUGGACUGACCAAUCAGUGUCCAGAUACCUGACACCAGCAGAUAUGUUCAACUUAUGCCCUGGUAUUUGCUCAUAAUGCAAAUGUAGAAAUUUUCAUUCUUUAAAAUGUCUAUCUCUUUAAAAAAU